GGCAGACGAUGGCUUUUUCUCAUGAUGGUCUGUGGAUACCACUGUGGGCAGCGCCGAUAAUGCCAAUGGCUUAGCUGAUGCUGGGAG
This is a small nucleolar RNA of Myotis lucifugus (little brown bat), 87 nucleotides long. Ensembl annotates it as small nucleolar RNA SNORD35. The record is from Ensembl. Lineage: Eukaryota; Metazoa; Chordata; Mammalia; Chiroptera; Vespertilionidae.